Molecule: ribosomal RNA, 253 nt
Filed under: uncultured bacterium
Lineage: Bacteria
Description: partial 16S ribosomal RNA
Rfam family: Bacterial small subunit ribosomal RNA
Source: RNAcentral
UACGUAGGGUGCAAGCGUUGUCCGGAAUUAUUGGGCGUAAAGAGCUCGUAGGCGGUCUGUCGCGUCGGCUGUGAAAACCCGGAGCUCAACUCCGGGCCUGCAGUCGAUACGGGCAGACUGGAGUUCGGCAGGGGAGACUGGAAUUCCUGGUGUAGUGGUGAAAUGCGCAGAUAUCAGGAGGAACACCGGUGGCGAAGGCGGGUCUCUGGGCUGACACUGACGCUCAUGCACGAAAGCGUGGGGAGCAAACAGG